Molecule: long non-coding RNA, 1734 nt
Organism: Megalopta genalis
Lineage: Eukaryota; Metazoa; Arthropoda; Insecta; Hymenoptera; Halictidae
Source: RefSeq, a predicted model, not a curated record
UCCAGGAAGCUUCGGAGCACGAUUGCGAGCGAUCGAUCAGGUGUUCGGAGAACGUCGACACCGUGCUUCACCGGAACACGCGAUCGCGUAGAUUCGAUUAUCUUUUCCCGUCGAGUCGUGCUCGGCUUUAACGAGCACCGAAACAACGGAUUCCCGAGGCUCUCGGGAAAACCGUUCACCUUUAACCCUGCGCCGCGUACUGGGUCAUUCGUGUCGCUCCAAAUUUCAAUUCACCUGCAUGGUCCGACACGGAUACAGUGUUUGGACCGUUUCGAUGCUCGAUGCAACGUUAAAAGAAAAAAGAAAAAAAAGACGGCUAAUUUGAAUGUCGCGUCGUAAUCACCGUGACUCACGUAUGUAUACUUAUUCACACAGUGGUUCAUAUUCUGCUGCCGUCAUCUUUCCGUGAAACGAGAAUCGGAAACGCACUGAGGAGAGGCAGCCUUGACGACGUGAAAAUGCAAGAGCUGUUCGAAUUUAUAAAAACGCGUUUUCUUCGCGUUCGCCGCAACUGCGGCAAACUUUCGAAUCUCGGACACCGAAAGGGUUAGCGGAGUCAAACCUGGGAUCUGCGAUCGCUUCCUCGACCCUUCCGGACGAUCCUAAAUGAUCGGAACGAUCUGCUUCCAGCUCGGAAGCAGACUUUUUUGACCUUCGACGGAUCGAAACCGUCGCGGCAGGAACGGACGCGACGAGGCGCGUGCGACGAAUCUCCGAUGGAAGAUCUUCGGCGGUCGAUCUUCGGAUCGGUCCGCGGGCACAGAAACUUCUCGAAACCGCGUGUCGAGGGAACACCGAAAUAAAAAGAUCUCACGAUCCACACUCACGUCUACGGAGCAGAUGUUCGUGCUGUCCGUGCGCGGCGACGACUGCAGUGCGCGCGACGAGGCAGAGGCAGAGGCAAAGCCAGGGGCCGAUCGACGGCGCAGCAGUGGCGAGACGAUCCACGAAGCCGGCCAUCUCCGCUCGAUGCCAGCCCUUGCCGGCCUUCUUCCCUUGCACACCGACGACGACGACGAGGACGACGACGACCAGUCCGCCUCUCUUCCUUCGACAAUUCCUACGCCGCUCGCUUCCGUCGAGACGCGCCGCGCGAAAUCCGCUCGAUCCUCUCCGACGAUCCAGCCUGCGACUGGAACACCUCGCGCCUCGAGAAGCUUAUCUAAUCUCGCGGAUGAUAAGUCCGCCGCCACGGUACACGUGAACGACUCAUUUAUUGUCUUAGCCGCGGCGAUCCGCUUGGAAAUCGAGGCCGAACCGCGACGAGUCACCGAACAGCUAUGGAUCUGUGAUUAAUCGACGAACGGAGCGCGCGCGCGUGCCGCCCGGCGGGGCGAAGUCGCGACGAGGUGUUGAAAUCGAGGAACUUUGGAUCGAGGCGAGAUAAAGCGGUGAUUUCGAUGCUGAAAAAUGUUGCGGAAUCCAGGGGAAAAUGGGGAGGACAUGGUGUUGACAGUUUUUAACGCGUUCAGCGCCACGUGUAACACCGGUGCGACGUGCUUACGUGUUUGUAGUUUGUAGCGAAAUUAUGAAAUGGAAUAAUAGGAUUGAUAUAAUAUAAUGGAUACGCGUUAAUUGUGUGUUAUUGUAUUCUUCAGUUCUAAGUUUGGUUCUUGACGAGUUCCGCGCCACGUGUACUAGCAAUGGGAUGUGCUCACGUGCUUGUAAUUUGUAGGAAAAUAAUAAAAUAUAAUAAUAGGAUUAAUAUAUUAUAAUAUAUACAUAUUAAUUGUA